This 1232-nucleotide ribosomal RNA is filed under the name Bacillus sp. BDT-113. Its description in RNAcentral is "bacterial SSU rRNA". It matches the Rfam family "Bacterial small subunit ribosomal RNA", at positions 89 to 1337 of the family's 1533-position model. The record is from RNAcentral. Lineage: Bacteria; Bacillati; Bacillota; Bacilli; Caryophanales; Bacillaceae.
AUGUUAGCGGCGGACGGGUGAGUAACACGUGGGUAACCUGCCUGUAAGACUGGGAUAACUCCGGGAAACCGGGGCUAAUACCGGAUGGUUGUUUGAACCGCAUGGUUCAGACAUAAAAGGUGGCUUCGGCUACCACUUACAGAUGGACCCGCGGCGCAUUAGCUAGUUGGUGAGGUAACGGCUCACCAAGGCGACGAUGCGUAGCCGACCUGAGAGGGUGAUCGGCCACACUGGGACUGAGACACGGCCCAGACUCCUACGGGAGGCAGCAGUAGGGAAUCUUCCGCAAUGGACGAAAGUCUGACGGAGCAACGCCGCGUGAGUGAUGAAGGUUUUCGGAUCGUAAAGCUCUGUUGUUAGGGAAGAACAAGUGCCGUUCAAAUAGGGCGGCACCUUGACGGUACCUAACCAGAAAGCCACGGCUAACUACGUGCCAGCAGCCGCGGUAAUACGUAGGUGGCAAGCGUUGUCCGGAAUUAUUGGGCGUAAAGGGCUCGCAGGCGGUUUCUUAAGUCUGAUGUGAAAGCCCCCGGCUCAACCGGGGAGGGUCAUUGGAAACUGGGGAACUUGAGUGCAGAAGAGGAGAGUGGAAUUCCACGUGUAGCGGUGAAAUGCGUAGAGAUGUGGAGGAACACCAGUGGCGAAGGCGACUCUCUGGUCUGUAACUGACGCUGAGGAGCGAAAGCGUGGGGAGCGAACAGGAUUAGAUACCCUGGUAGUCCACGCCGUAAACGAUGAGUGCUAAGUGUUAGGGGGUUUCCGCCCCUUAGUGCUGCAGCUAACGCAUUAAGCACUCCGCCUGGGGAGUACGGUCGCAAGACUGAAACUCAAAGGAAUUGACGGGGGCCCGCACAAGCGGUGGAGCAUGUGGUUUAAUUCGAAGCAACGCGAAGAACCUUACCAGGUCUUGACAUCCUCUGACAUCCUAGAGAUAGGACGUCCCCUUCGGGGGCAGAGUGACAGGUGGUGCAUGGUUGUCGUCAGCCUCGUGUCGUGAGAUGUUGGGUUAAGUCCCGCAACGAGCGCAACCCUUGAUCUAGUGCCAGCAUCAGUGGGCACUCUAAGGUGACUGCCGUGACAACCGGAGAGGUGGGAUGACGUCAUCAUCAUGCCCUUAUGACCUGGCUACCACGUGCUUCAUUGACGAACAAGGGCAGCGAACCGAGUAGCAAUCCAAAUCGGUCCAAUUCGGAUCGCACCUGCAACUCCACUGCGGUGAACCGGAAUCGCUA